AUGGCGCCCAAAGCUGCCCAGCUCACCUUGGCCCUAAGCCUCCUCCUCCUCCUCGCCCAAAGCGCCCAGGGGAGGAGGAACUGCCCUGUCGACGUCCUGGUUCUGAGGGCGUGCCUUAGCGGGCCCGGCGGCACCUCGCUUUUACAUGCUGGGCAGGGCGGCCAGGAGUGCUGCCCGCUGCUGGGUGAUCUUGUCGCCUUUGACGCCGCCCUCUGCAUCUGCACCGCCCUCCACGGCCGAACGAUCGCUCCGGACAUCGAUCAGGAGGUACCCAUCAGCCUCAUCCUCAACGGAUGUGACAUGUCGGUUCCCACUUCUUUCCAGUGCCCCCAAUGA
RNAcentral lists this ribosomal RNA (336 nucleotides) under Triticum aestivum (bread wheat). Its description in RNAcentral is "partial small subunit ribosomal RNA". Lineage: Eukaryota; Viridiplantae; Streptophyta; Magnoliopsida; Poales; Poaceae. The record is from RNAcentral.